Molecule: long non-coding RNA, 1484 nt
Organism: Homo sapiens (human)
Lineage: Eukaryota; Metazoa; Chordata; Mammalia; Primates; Hominidae
Gene: CASC15
Product: cancer susceptibility 15
Source: Ensembl
ACGCCAAGGACUGGGGAAGGGGAAGUUAGGAAUACCUUACAUCCAAUGCCCACCCGUGCUCCGCAGGGCAAGGGCAGCCGUCGCCUCGGCCGCGUGCACCCAGCUCAGGCUGUUCCCAGGGAUUUAGUCUGGGGGGACAACCCAUGGCGAGAUGUGGUGGCAUUUUACCUCAGAGUGGAGCUGAAGAUGGAUAAACAAGCACAGAUCAAAUUCUGGGAGUUUACAUUUCUGAAACUUGGGUCAAGGUCCUGGCCAGUCCUCAACAAGAGCAACCGUGUGGACAUCUGUGGCAAUGUCAGAUUCACUCGAUCCCAAGACAAGAUGCUCUUUGAUAAUGGACUAGAGGAAAGGGUGAAAGAAUGGUUUAGAGCCAAUUCAAGAAAGAACAAUCUGAUUCACACUUGGAGGAGGACACAGGAGCUGAAUCAGAUGGGGCUGUGGUGCCUGGGGAGGAAAUUAACGAAGAGACAAUGAAGAUGACAUGGAAUUCAUCAACAUGCUUUCCUUGAUCUACACAACCGCCUGCCCCAUGCUGCUGGCAGAGCAGUCUGUUCUCUUGGCCUAUGCAGAUGCCAUAGUAUACAAGUGUUAAAAUUGUGGUGGAUCCCAGAAGCGUGCAGACAUGUUCAGAUGUGUCCAGAGUUCCUUUCUUCUGGUGGGUUCGUGGUCUCCCUGACUUCAGGAGUGAAGCUGCAGAUCUUCAUGAGACGGAGUUCUCACUACGUUUUCCAUGCUGAGUGUGAGCUCUUGGCCUCAAGUGAUCCUCCCACUUCUGCCUCCUAAAGUGCUGGGAUAACAGUGAAUAACAUAAGGACAACAACCAAUCACCAAAAGACUUUGAAAGAUGCCCAUAAAUUCUUAACGUAGUGAUUUGUUGACUGAAGAGCUAGCUGUGACGUUUGACCUUCAAGUAUUACUCCCAGUUAAUACAUUGUAGUCAUUGAAAUUUGAAUCAUACUGUUGGAGACUGAUGUUGUUUAAAUAAAUCAUGGAAUCAUUCCGCCACAAGCGAACGAGCCUGGGCUGGCCUUGUGGAAGCCUAGCCGAGGCCUCAGAAUAUGGAUGAGAUCAUCUGAGACCAUCCACCCCAGGAAGCCAGCAAAGUGGCUAGAACCCGCCAUACCACCGCAGAAUCACGAUUGCUGUUCUGAGUCACUACAUUUCAGGUGACUUGUUGAGCAGCAAACGAGCUGACGAACCUAAAGUCAGAAGAUGCUAGCGGAAGAAACAGGACCCAGAACUCCAUUGGAAAAUGGGGUAUACAGACUUCGAGGAUGCCAGACAAAAAGAUCAUUUGAAAUAUUGUUGUCACUAAGCCUUCUUUGAUCAAGACACCAUGAGCUCAUGACAAACGCCUCAAUUUCCUUCUUCUGUAAAUAAAUUAAUACCUGGUGAGAUGUAAAAGCCCACUUGAACGGAAAACAACAUGUUUGAUGAAAUUCUGAGAGAAGAUACAACCCAAGGUAUGAAAAAUUCAGAACAAA